CCAGCUCCCGCGGUAAUUCCAGCUCCAAUAGCGUAUAUUAAAGUUGUUGCAGUUAAAAAGCUCGUAGUUGGACCUUAGGCAAGGCCGGCUGGUCAGUCGCAAGACUGCACUGGACGUGCUGCGCAUCACCUUCGGGGAGCCACGUCGCAAGGCGUGGGGAUCCGAGCUUUACUUUGAAGAAAUUAGAGUGUUCAAAGCAGGCUUACGCUUGAAUACAUUAGCAUGGAAUAAUAGAAUAGGACUCGGGUUCUAUUUUGUUGGUUUGAGGACCAGAGUAAUGAUUAAUAGGGAUAGUUGGGGGCAUUAGUAUUCAGUAGUCAGAGGUGAAAUUCUUGGAUUUACUGAAGACUAACUAGUGCGAAAGCAUUUGCCAAGGAUGUUUUCAUUAAUCAAGAACGAAAGU
RNAcentral lists this ribosomal RNA (403 nucleotides) under uncultured eukaryote. Its description in RNAcentral is "SSU rRNA". It matches the Rfam family "Eukaryotic small subunit ribosomal RNA", at positions 567 to 990 of the family's 1831-position model. The record is from RNAcentral.